GAUCCUGGCUCAGAACGAACGCUGGCGGCAGGCUUAACACAUGCAAGUUGAACGGGAUUUGUGUGGUGCUUGCACCAUAUAAUGAGAGUAGCGCACUGGUGAGUAACACGUGGGAACGUGCCUUUUAGUGGGGGAUAACAUCUGGAAACGGAUGCUAAUACCGCAUACGCCCUGAGGGGGGAAAGAUUUAUUGCUAAGAGGUCGGCCCGCGGUAGAUUAGGCAGUUGGUGGGGUAAAGGCCUACCAAACCUACGA
Molecule: ribosomal RNA, 255 nt
Filed under: uncultured bacterium
Lineage: Bacteria
Description: partial 16S ribosomal RNA
Rfam family: Bacterial small subunit ribosomal RNA
Source: RNAcentral